RNAcentral lists this unclassified non-coding RNA (619 nucleotides) under Hevea brasiliensis (rubber tree). The record is from RNAcentral. Lineage: Eukaryota; Viridiplantae; Streptophyta; Magnoliopsida; Malpighiales; Euphorbiaceae.
GGGAUUAGCUACGAGAAAAAGAAGAGAAAGAGACCCCCACAGCAACAGCAACAGCAACAGAGUCCUGCAUUGUUGAUGGCGCUGCCACCAGCACCAGCACCAGCGACCACUAAUACAAGUGAUGAUCAUGAGUAAGUAUUAAAGUUACCACCCAUUUCAAUUAAAGAACAAGAAUGAGGAUAAAACUCAUCAGAAACUACUCUUUCAUAAUUUUAUUUGCCAUACGCAUGACUAUGAGCUAGUUCUCUUAUCUUGUUGCAUCAUGUGUGCGAUAUCUCUUGUUGGGUUGUGAGGAACUCUUUAGAUUGUUAGGUAAUGAACACGGAUUUAUAUUUUAUUAUAUUAUAUUAUUGGGUACAAUAUGUUAUAUUUUCUGUAGUUGUAGCAGUAGCAGUAAUAGUAGUGAUCAUGUUUGUGAUCACUAGUGAUCACAGAGAGGUAGCUGUUGAUGAACAUGUUUGUGACUUCACAUCCUAUUUGUCACGGAUAUGUAGCUGGAACCUGGAAAGAUCAUUUAUGACGAGCAAUAGAUUUGGAUAUCGUCUUGUGUGCCUUUUUUCUUCCCUCUGUUCUUUUCUUUCGUUUUCCUAUUUUGUUUAUAUAAUGGGUAUUGGCUAAU